CCCGUCCCCCACACCCCGCCCGCACCCGAUUCCCACGAGGCCAAUCGGCGGGCGCGGCGGCCGAGAGAUCCCGAGCAGCGACAGGGGUGGGAUCUGGCCGUGUGCGCGAGGCAAAGAGUGGGUGGGAGCGCAGGCCUACUUUAUUACCCGGCGCGCACUAAUCCAGAUUUGGGGCCGUGGGUGUGUGGGUUUCGUCGCUGUGGGGCGACGUUUUAAAACGCACCGGCCCGAGCGCCUCCGCCAGGCCAACACCUGUCCUCCCCCGCUACCCCUCUCGCCGUCGCGGUCGCGCCCGCGGCCAACGACCUUCUUCCACCUCGCACCCACCCGAUCUCUCUCUCUCUCUCUCUACGUGCGCGCGCGCACCAAUCGCUCCUGGCAGCAGUAGUAGUAACUGCUCGGAUUUGCUCUUGCUAAAUUCGGCACUGCCGCCCAUACUUAAUCGAGCCCGGCCGCCUCCUGUCCUCCUGCUUAAAGCAGCUCGAGCUCGCUCGCUCGCCCGCUGCUCCCCAUCACGACUACCACGGCCGCUGUGUCUGUCAGGCUGGAGCUCGAACACCUGUAACGCCCUGACUUGUGCCUGCCUGUGUGCUUUUUGAUUCGGUUGGAUUAAUUGGCGGGAGUGAGUGAGGGGAUCGGAUCCGAUGGACUUUCCGGGAGGGAGCGGGAGGCCGCCGCCGCCGCCGCAGCAGCACCAGCACCAGCUGCUGCCGCCGAUGACGCCGCUGCCGCUCACGCGCCAGGGCUCCUCGGUCUACUCGCUCACGUUCGACGAGUUCCAGAGCGCGAUCGGCGGGCCGGGCAAGGACUUCGGAUCCAUGAACAUGGACGAGCUCCUCCGCAACAUCUGGACGGCCGAGGAGUCGCAGGCCAUCGGCGCCGGCCCCAACGCCGCCGCCUCGUCCUCCGCCGCGGCGGGGCCGGACCACGGCGGCAUCCAGCGCCAGGGCUCCCUCACGCUCCCCCGGACGCUCAGCCAGAAGACCGUCGACGAGGUCUGGCGCGACAUGAUGUUCUUCGGAGGGCCCUCCGCCUCCGCCUCCGCGGCCGCCGAGGCUCCCCCGCCGGCCCAGAGGCAGCAGACGCUCGGGGAGGUCACGCUCGAGGAGUUCCUCGUGCGCGCCGGCGUCGUGCGCGAGGACAUGCCGGGCCCGCCGCCGCCCGUCUCGCCGGCGCCCGUGGCCCAGGCGCCGCCUCCGCAGCCGCAGAUGCUGUUCCCUCAGAGCAACAUGUUUGCUCCUAUGGUGAAUCCUCUGUCCCUGGCGAAUGGGUUGAUGACCGGAGCAUACGGACAGGGAGGAGGCGGUGGUGGUGGUGCGCCCGCUAUGGUUUCGCCGUCGCCGACGGGGAGGCCGGUCAUGUCCAACGGCUACGGCAAGAUGGAAGGCCUCAACUUGUCCUCGCUGUCGCCGCCGCCGAUGCCGUAUGUUUUCAGCGGCGGGCUGAGGGGGAGGAAGCCACCGGCCAUGGAGAAGGUGGUCGAGAGGAGGCAGCGGCGGAUGAUCAAGAACCGGGAGUCUGCGGCGAGGUCGCGCCAGAGGAAACAGAGUUACAUGAUGGAAUUGGAGACUGAGGUGGCAAAACUUAAAGAGCGGAAUGAGGAGUUGCAGAGAAAACAGGCGGAGAUCCUAGAGAGGCAAAAGAAUGAGGUAUUCGAGAAGGUUAGCAGGCAAGCUGGACCUACCUCAAAGAGGAUCUGCCUGCGGAGGACGCUGACGGGUCCUUGGUAAGCCGAAGGCCUGUAAACUAGAGCACACUACUUUCAACGCUGCGAAGUUUAUACAUACAGUAGAUGAAUUUCAGAAUCGCCAGGAGUUGCGCUUGUAGAGCAGCCACUGAUCCGAUGCUUCAGAGUUCAGACUCCUAGGCCGAUAGACUGCCGGCGAUCUUCGCUCGAUAGGUUUUUAGCCGUCCGCGUGCCGUUCCGUGUGAGUAGAGAGCAUUUGUAUGUAAAAAUCUAUUUAACCAUGUGUUGGUGUGAUACUACAUUUUCUAUUUAUUUUUUUCUGUUUCGAGGACUCAUUACACAACCAUGUUAGAAAUGAGUUUGUAUUCUUCAUAAAAACGAUGCCCGGUCGGCUUGUAAAGCGGAACUAUUUGCGCAUCUGUAGAUGAUUUUCCUCCAUUGUGCGCAUCUUCAGAGAGUGAACUGAACUGAGCUACUUUGCAGAGUAAAGAAGAUGUGUGUCUGAUGGGCAAAUCAGACACAGCAAAGCUUCUUGUAUCUGGUAAGCACAAACCGAACUAGUUUGAUUCGAGUACUCGGCAUCAGUGGCUGCUGUAGGCUGUGUGUUUCUGGCUCCAUUACCAUGUCAAUGGAGCCAUGUAUGUAAGCUUUGUAUACAUAAACCAUGGCACUUGGUCAUGUGGAACCAGAACCAAAACGUCUGUCUGUAUAUUACGAGAACUUCCGGAUCAAUAAUGUAAAUUACAACUAUCUUUUCUGGAGGUCCAUAUG
This 2458-nucleotide ribosomal RNA is filed under the name Triticum aestivum (bread wheat). Its description in RNAcentral is "partial small subunit ribosomal RNA". Lineage: Eukaryota; Viridiplantae; Streptophyta; Magnoliopsida; Poales; Poaceae. The record is from RNAcentral.